This 1684-nucleotide ribosomal RNA is filed under the name Kentrophyllum sp. B137. RNAcentral's name for it is "eukaryotic LSU rRNA". It matches the Rfam family "Eukaryotic large subunit ribosomal RNA", at positions 69 to 1868 of the family's 3401-position model. The record is from RNAcentral. Lineage: Eukaryota; Ciliophora; Litostomatea; Pleurostomatida; Amphileptidae.
CAAAGAUUCCCUCAGUAAGGGCGACCGAACCGGGAAGAGCUCGAAAUUGGAAUCAGUGAUUCAACGAUCUGAAUUGUAAUCGAACUUGCCUAAAUACGGAAAUUUGCUUAAUUAUCUCGAAAGAUAAACCAGAGAGGGUGCUAGUCCCGUAAAGCAUGUUUCCGAUUAAGGUAAUUAACAAAGAGUCGAGUAGCUUGGAAUUGCUGCUCUAAGCGGGAGAUAUGAUUCUUCCAAAGCUAAAUAUGGAUGGGAAACCGAUAGCGAACAAGUACUGUGAAGGAAAGAUGAAAAGGACUUUGAAAAGAGAGUGAAAAGAUCUGAAAUCGUUGAGGAGGAAGCGGUUAAACUGACCAGCGUGCUGAAAGUGCAAUGCGAUUACCUCGUAGAGUACUUAACAGAGCGCUCGGCAAAAUCAAGUUGGACUCGUCAAAAAAGGCUUUAGCCGGACAGGGUGAGACCAGCUUGAGGGACUACGGUGAUUUUGCCAAAAUGGUUUUAACUGUCCCGUCUUGAAACACGGACCAAGGAGUCUAAUACAUAUGCGAGUGUGCAGGUGAGAAACCUAUACGCGAAAUGAAAGUGAAAGGUGCGCCAAGUGGCAGCAUCGACCGACCCGGCAUGAAGGGUUUGAGUAUGAGCAUAUUUGUUAGGACCCGAAAGAUGGUGAUCUUAGCCUGAGCAGAGCGAAGUCUUGGGAAACCAGGAUGGAGGCUUUAAACGGUGCUAACGUGCAAAUUGCUGCGUAGAAUUGGGUUAAGGGUCGAAAGAACCAUCGAACCAUCUAGUAGCUGGUUCCCUCCGAAGUUUCCCUCAGGAUAGCUGGAACAAUAUACAGUUUUACGGGGUCGAGCGAAUGAUUAGAGGUCUCAGGACGCUUUAGUCUUGUCCUAUUCUCAAACUUCAAAUCCGUAAGAACUCUUGUUAUCUUAACUGAACAUUGAGACAGAAUGUAUGUUCUAAGUGGGCCAUUUUUGGUAAGCAGAACUGGCGAUGAGGGAUGAACCUAACAUUGUGUUAAGGUGCCAAAUUUUACGCUCAUGAGAUACCACAAAAGGUGUUGAUUCAUCUAAACAGCAGGACGGUGGACAUAAAAGUCGUCAUCCGCUAAGGAGUGUGUCAUGACUCACCUGCCGAAUGAAUUAGCCCUGAAAAUGGAUGGCGCUAAAGCGUAAAACCGAUACACAAUCAUUAGUGAAAAAGUAAUCACUAAUGAGUAGGAGGGCGUAGUUGUUGUGAGAAGCUUAUGACGUGAGUCUGAGUGGAACGACAUCUAGUGCAGAUCUUGGUGGAGUAGCAAAUAGCCAAUUGAAAACGUUGGCGGCCGAAGUGGAGAAGGGUUUCCUGAGAACAGUAUUUGAUCAGGAGUUACGCGGUCCUAAGUUCCUGGUUAAACCUAUAUAAGGUGCUCUAUAGCACGGAACGAAAGGAAUCAGGUUGAAAUUCCUGACGUUAGGUGAGAUUCUGGCAACACAAACUAGCUCAAAAACGCCAGCGAGUGUUUCUGGAAGAGUUUUCUUUUCUUCUUAACAACCAAAUGACCCUGGAAUUUGAUUACCAAGAGAUAGGGUUAUAAGGUUGGCAGAGCUGUACGUUUUUAGUACAGUCAGAUGCACUCUCGAUGGCCCUUGAAAAUUUGAGUCAGAACAAUUUCAUCUAAUCCGUACCCAUAACCGCAUCAGUUUCC